RNAcentral lists this ribosomal RNA (253 nucleotides) under uncultured prokaryote. RNAcentral describes it as "partial 16S ribosomal RNA". It matches the Rfam family "Bacterial small subunit ribosomal RNA", at positions 525 to 777 of the family's 1533-position model. The record is from RNAcentral.
ACGUAGGUGGCGAGCGUUGUCCGGAUUUACUGGGCGUAAAGGGCUUGUAGGCGGUUCGUUAAGUCCGCUGUGAAAGUCGGGGGCUCAACCCUCGGAUGCCGGUGGAUACUGUCGGGCUAGAGUGCGGAAGAGGCGAGUGGAAUUCCUGGUGUAGCGGUGAAAUGCGCAGAUAUCAGGAGGAACACCAAUUGCGAAGGCAGCUCGCUGGGACGUGACUGACGCUGAGACGCGAAAGCGUGGGGAGCAAACAGGA